GUCAGGCAUGGUGGUGCAUGCCUGUAAUCCCAGCAGCUCGGGAAGCUAAGGCAGGAGGAUUGCAAGUUCAAAGCCAGCCUCAGCAACUUAGAAAGGAACUAAGCAACUCAGCAAGACUCUGUCUCUA
This 127-nucleotide small RNA is filed under the name Marmota monax (woodchuck). The record is from RNAcentral. Lineage: Eukaryota; Metazoa; Chordata; Mammalia; Rodentia; Sciuridae.